Molecule: long non-coding RNA, 10867 nt
Filed under: Gallus gallus (chicken)
Lineage: Eukaryota; Metazoa; Chordata; Aves; Galliformes; Phasianidae
Description: lncRNA (ENSGALG00010025880.1)
Source: RNAcentral
GUUGAAAGGGACCUCAGAGAUCACCUAAUUCCCACCUGCUGUGUGUUUUGUGACACUGGGAAGCACUGGGUUUCCUAGAACUCUGUAGAGAAUUGAGCUCAGUUGUCUUCAUUGGAAUCCCCAUUUUGGGACGGAGGUCCCUUCCAACCCAGCCAUCCCAUGAAGCGGCAAUGAUCCCAGGAGCUGCGGGGCGAGGAUCCAAAAUCUGACCCAAUUCCUGAUCCAAAACCUGCCUGAAGGGCUUCGGGCUCUCAGCUCUGGGCCCAUCCUCACCGUGCUGCAGGACCAGCCCCGACGUUUCACCUCCAUUCCCCACCUGCAGCAUCGCAUUUACCACUUCCCUCAGCAUCUCCCCUGGCAGCGCCAUUUCCCAUUGGGACAUCGAUGCCCUCUCGUCGGGUUCCUCUCUCUCAGCACCCGGAUGGGCAAAGCAAAAGGCAGAAGAGCGGCGUUCUGUGCCGGUGUCACUUUUCUCCCAGCCAACAAACAGAAGUUUUAUUAGCGAAACCCUCUCGGAUGCCGCAUUCCAGCUUGGUAACAUUUCGGUAACACAUUGCAAACGUUUGACUCAUAGAAACUUGGAAGGCUGCAGCCGGGGGAGGGGGAAGAGCGUCACAUUCCCAUUCCCGGGCAGGGUUUGGUUGUUGGGUUUUUCUUUUUCUUUUUCUUUCUUUUUUUUUUUUUUUGUAAAGAACUGAAACUUCUCUCUGUUUAAUGAAAAAAAAAAGUGUUGGAGCCGGCCGCUUUGGGCUCGCAUUGUGUUUGCAGCGAGGGGAUGGGGGAGGAGGGCUGCUGCCAAGGGAGGAACCGAGGCAGCUGAACUCGCUUUUCUUCGGCGAGUUUUUUUUCUCCCUCUGUGUUCCCAGGACAGGGUUGGCUUUCUAGGUUUGAUAAAGCAUUUCCUUCCAUUGUCAUUCUAUACGGCCUCUGGGCCCUUUGCUCAGUCCCUCCCCUUUCGCCUUCCCCUCUCUUUUCUCUUUCUCUCUUCCUGAACUUCAGUGAAUCUUGAGAUAUAAAGAAAGCAGCUGCCUCCCCCCGAGCACAUCUCGGACAAUGCGGCCGCAUCUCCAAGGGCUUUAACUCCUCUGGAUGCAAGGACAAAGCCACGGUGAGUACCGGGGGUCCCACGCGCGUGACGCUGCAAUGUGCCCCAGCUGCUCCAACCCAACCCAAGCUGGUGCCAAUGCUGUCCCCAUUGUGCCGUCCCCAUGUCCCCAUUGUGCCAUCCCAGUAUCCCCAUCGUGCCAUCCCCAUUGCACUGUCCCCAUGUCCCCAUUGUACCAUCCCAGUAUCCCCGUCGUGCCACCCCCAUUGCACUGUCCCCAUGUCCCCAUUGUACCAAGUCCAUCGUGCCAUCCCCACUGUGCCAUCCCAAUAUCCCCAUCGUGCCGUCCCCAUUGCGCCGUCCCCAUCGUACCAUCCCCAUGGCCCCAUUGCGCCGUCCCCAUUGUGCCAUCCCCAUUGUACCAUCCCCACUGUGCCAUCCCCAUGUCCCCAUUGCGCCGUCCCAUUGCGCUGUCCCCAUCGUGCUCUCCCCAUGCCCCCACUGUGCUGUCCCAUCUGUGGGUGGCAUUGUCACCUAUGUCACCUGGGCCAGCCGUGUGACACGGGCUGCUCAACACGGUGGGAGGAAUCCUCCUCUCCAAAGCAAAGCAAAGCAAAACAAACGUGAUGCAACCGUGUUCCCAUGAGCUGCACUGCGGGAGGGCCGUCCUGCGGUGCCAGGUGUGGUUUUGGAGCUGGGGGCUGCACAGUGUGGGGGGCUGCACCCCUCCUCUGCUGCCCGCGUUGCUCUGCUUGCUGCCUUUUCCUGUUUUAAGCAGCAAAGCAAGAGAUGGGCUGGAGCAGCAGGGAGCUCUGCUGUGCAUGGAUUGGUGACGUGGGGCCGUGGGGAGCAGUGCAGGCUGGGGCUGCAGCGCUGUUUCCUGCACAGAAAACAGGAGGCAAAACCGAGGGAUGCAGGUUUGGUUAGCUAAGGGAGCUCAGGGCUGCUGACUUGCUUGCAAUACAGGCCCCAGUCUCACCUCCCAGGAAAACCCAACCAAUUCACCACGGCAGACACUCAGGCCUAAUCCAGAUCAACCUUAAGACCACUCAAGGGAUCGCACGCUGCGAGGAAGCACAGUGCAGUCCUGUCAGCUCCUCCAGAGCAGCUCCCCCAGCCUGGGCUGCCCGGGACACGUGCUGUGUUUGAUGGGCACCAAAAGGGCUCUGUUCCCCAUUCCUGCUGCUUUCCCCCUUCCCCUCCCCCUGGCAGUCAGCUAUUGCUCUGGUCUCACAGCAAUCUCCCUUAAGGUGCUUUGCUCUCUCUGGGUUCUGGUGUGCACUUUGUGCGCUCACUCACCUGGCAGUCCUCUCUUUGCCUCUGCUGCUGUUUUGCUCUCAGGUGUCAAUGGGAACAAAGGAGAAGGGGCUGUAACUCCAAAGGAUGCUGAGAUCAGAGCAGCCCCUGUCCUGCUCGUGUCUGCUCCUCUGCUCUCUGAGUGGCUCGCAGCGCAUUCCUUACCCUCACCUUACUUUGGGGAGUGGGGAGAAAUGCAGCGUGCAGAAUAAGGACAGGUGAUGCACGUGGGCUGUGCAGCCGUGUGGUACAGAGGGGCAGAGGGCAGCAGUGCCACAGGUGUUGCAGACCCUGCAAAGGGCCGAGCAGAGCACGCAGCCCAAUCAGCCAGACGCUGCAGUCGAUGUCUGAGCUCUCGUGUGGGGAUUUUCCUCCUCGUCUCCAUCUGUCUCCAGGAUCUGCUGUCUGUGCUGAAAUCUGAUUCGUAGGAAACAGUAUCUGAGUUCGGGAAAUGCCACGGGGUGUCUGAGGCCUUUGGGACCGGGCAUGGAAAAGAGCAGCCCCCAAAGCCUGUUGUAAUCCUCUGUGCCAAAAUGAGAUAAGAAAGCCUCAAAGCUUUAUUACAGGAAUCCGGCCAGGUGAAGGGGACAAACCUGGUGGUGGCUGGAGGAGGAAGAGGAGGAGGAAGAGGAGGAGGAAGAGGAAGAGGCUCUUCUGGCAACCACUCAGCCCAACCACGAGGGAUAUUGGAUUGUGCUUCUAAUCUGGAUGAGUGGAAUCCUCCUGGUGUGGGCUUUGGGAGCAGCUGAUGGAAAACAGACAAAAGAGACUGACGGAGGGGGAUAUGGGUUAACAGGGUAAACCUGGGCACGUGCAAACAAUGGGAUUUCGUGUUAAAAAACACUGGAAGAUUGCAGCUGAGAGCAGGAAAUUGGGUCAGGUGCUGAGUGGUUGUAUCUGCUGUAGGAAAGCAGCUCUGGACAGGCUUUGGCCACCGGUGUGGGGAGGCAGGGCGAUGUGCCCCACUUCUCCCAUGCAAUGGGGUACCAUGCAACGGGGUACCCGGGCAGUGCUGAGCCUUCAGUGUGCUUUAAUCUCAUGGGAGCUGAAUUCUUUGGGGGUAAAAAACAGAAGAAAGGAAUGCCUGUGCCAUCAGGUGCAGAUGUGAGGCUGAGGAGAUGGGCUUUGUGCCCUGAGCAUGCAGUGGGAGGCUCUGAAAGGAGAAACCUCCUGGUAUGAGGUGUGAUUCUGGGUGUUACGGCUGGGGAAUUAUCACACAAGGUAUGAAAGAGCAGAACCUGUUGUGCAAAAGUCAAUCAGAGCGCUGAGUCAGAGCAGCCUCAAUGCGUGCUGAGCUUUUUGGACUCCUUAAAAUCACAUUUCUUGGUCCAAUGCAACCCUGCAUGUUUUCCCCCCAUCCCGUCUGUGUUUGUGGCAUUUGCUCAUAGGGAGUUCUGCUCAAUGCAGCAGCUCUGGGCAAUGCUAUGGGGUGCCUGGAUAUGGGAUGGGAGCUGUAGGUGGAGGGGUUUGGGGAUGGGUGAUGGGUUGGGUGGUCGUGGAAGGGCUGCUCCGCUCCAGGGAGGAUCCGAGUCCUUCAGCUAACAGAAAACUGCCACACUCAGCUGAACCCCAUUGAGGGAUAACAUUGGGCUUCACAACUCAGAAGUAAAGGUGGAGAUGGAAUGAAGCAGCAUCAGCUGUGAUACCGACCAGAGCCUGCAGCAGGAGGACACCCCCUGAGCACCGUGCUGCCCGGGACAGCUGUGCUCCCAGCAGGAGCUGAGUGCUCGUAUAAAUGGAGACGAAGCCCUUGGAUGUGAGGCAUCACUGAGUCUCGUUGAUUUCUGGGAGGAGCUGAGAGCCUCACUGCUCCUUCUGCCAUCUUUCCCAGCUCAGUGCCCACAGCCCCCUCCGUCGCAGCCUCCGGGAGUUCAUCUCUGUUCUUGGCACCUUCACAAUGAGGAAAUUGGCCGCCACUUCCACAGCAGCCAGCAACUUUCCAGGGAUGUUGCAUGGAUUUUCCAGCCAGGGAUGGAACGGCCUCAGCAGCCCUUCGAUCCGCCAGCAUAGGGCUGCAGCGCUGCAUCAGGAAGGAGCAGAUGGCGUUUAAAGGAGCAUCCAUGGGCAGAUCCUCCUGCACGGACACGGCCUCGUGUUAUGUGGUUGCAUAGGAGAAUGAAUGCACUUUAAAUGCAUAUGAACUGGCUAUGAUUAGUUAGGAAGUUUUCUUUCCAGAGCAGGAAAUGGGGGAACUGUAAUUAUUUCUUUAACAAACCAGGUGCACCAGGCCAAAAGCCUCAGUGCUGUGAGCACUCAGCAGAUCCGUGCUGGCUGCACCUGAUGGUUUUAAUAUCACUGGCCAAACUGCUCAGUAAUAGAUUUUGUGUGGUGGCCACACAGGAAGGCCCCGGUGCACGUUCCCUUACCCUUCGUAUUUGCUGUCCGUUGCGGGGCUUUGGGUGAUGCUGGAAUCAUUUUUUUUCCAUCAGCCUGCGGUUGGAUCUGCUGCUCUCCGCGUUGGCAUCUCCCGAGUGCAAAAUGCACAGAGGAGAAAGCUGCUGCGUCCUGCCCUGUGCUGGGCCUGGCGGAUGCAUGCGGGUCUGCAAAAGCCAUCAUGGGCUUUGCAGUGCUGGUGCAAACCCACAGCAAGGAGAGGGCCGAGCGAGGUGGUGGGGGGUGCAGAGGGGUGGGGGGUGCAAGGAGAUGGCGUGCAUGGUGCUGCCCCCGUGUCCUUUCCCUGUCUCCAUGUCCUUUCCCUGUCCCCACGGGUCAGCCCUGUUUGCUGCUUGCCCUCCUUUGUUCCUGAAGCACAUUUCUCAUCUCGUCUUGCUGUGAGCAAUGCGGAGGAGAGCUGCCUUUCAAACACGCCGUCCUGCGUCAGCCCCGGCCUCUUUGUUUCUUUUUAGUGUGCUCAGCUUCGUGCUGGGAGUGCAGGGUUUUUCCAGCCAGGACGGUUUGGAGCAUCAGACGUGUGCAGAAUGAGCGAUGCCGGAGCUUCGGGCUCAGCCAGGGCUGGAAAAACCCCCACUCUUUGUUUUGGGCUUGAAGCAAAACCACCUCCUCCACCUCUCCAUGGCUGUGCUUUAAGUCUGGGAAACAGCACGCGUGCAGCAUUCGGUGACACCCAGAGCCCAUAACUCAGGGGAUGGACUCUGCACAGAUCCAUUCCCCAGCAUGGCCGGGCAGCACCUGGAUCCUGCUCUGCCUCCUCACAUCAAUCUCCCAGCUGGGAUUUGUCCAAAAACAAAAGGCUUGCAGCAAGCUGGAAUAACAGCACGAGGUCCCUGGGCGCUGCGCAGCCUGCAGCGUCCUCCAGCCCUGAGAUGAGCAGAGCCUCACGACUGUGUUGCUCACGGGGGUGAUUUAUAGCCCGGGGUCUGUAAGUCCUUCUCUGGAGUAAGAAAGUAUUCCUAUCCCCAUAGCCUGAAUUCAUUAUACUGAAGAUAAGGGAUUCUGCAUUCGAACAAAGAGAAUCUCUGCAGCGGUUUGGAAGGGAAUUCUAGAGCUGUUUGGAAUUUCUAGAGAUGAAAUGAAAUCUCAAAACAAAUCCAAGAGAAGGCACAGAGACCGAGCACGGGCAGCUGGCUGACCAAAGGCUGACCAUGAGCCAGCAGUGUGCCCCUAUGGCCAGAAGGCCGAUAGUAACCCUGUUGGCCAACAGUUGACCAAGGGUUGACCAAAGGCUGACUGGAGCACUGGGCCCAGUGCUGUGUUCCCCAGUUCCAGGCAGACUGGGAACUGCUGGAGAGAUCCUUAUGGAGGGUGCAGAGCUGAUGGAUGUCCUGAUGGGCAAAUGCUGAGAGCCCCAGCACUGUUCACCUGGAGAAGGUCGAGAGGGCAUCCGAGCAACACUUUACCAAACCCAAGCACUGCGGUCACUGUUGGUGCCCACCCCCAUCCCCUCCAUGCUGUGGGGUGAGAGCAGAGCUGGGGACACAGAUGGGGCUCACCGACCCCCCACUGCCUCCUGCACGCAGUGCAACCACAUUGCCACGCAGGGAAGAGGACGAGGGCCCUUCUCAAGGUGACCAGCUUCUUAUUUUUGGCCGCUAUCCCCCUGCUGCUGGAGCUGACCUGGGCUGCGAGCUGUUGAAGUUUUUAGGCCCUUUGUUUGUUUAAUGGAAGCGAUGUUUGUUUUUGAUCACAGGCAUUAGAUAGGCACUUCCUCUGCAUGCAGGAAGCAGUGAUUUCCUGUUCACUCGGCGGCCAACUCUCACUGCGCAGGAAACCUCGCUCUGCUGAGUGUUCACUUUUCGUGCAGCGUUUUUGGAAGUCCUCUCGUGGGGUUGUUUUGUUUUCUCUUUCCCCACCCCAAUGCUGUUGGGUUCCCAUAGGCUCCGGUGGGGCCAUUUCCCCACAUUUGGCUGAAGUCUCCCAAUGAGGUCCAAUACGGAGGCAAGGCAGCAUCACUGCUUUGAUGGUGUUUGUCACACUGUGAUGGUGUUUGUCACCACUGUGGUGGUGUUUCCCACUGUUUGGGUGAGGUUUGCCACUGUUUGGAUGGUGUUUGUCAUCAGUUCUGUGCUACCACCAACAGCACAAGCGCAUCCCUCUGCUUUCAUGGACCCGCUUGGUGCAGAUCCAUGCCUACGAUCACCCCAUUUGCCUCUCCCUGCUGUUCUGCUGAUGCCUAUGGGUUGUUCCGGAUGCAAUUUGCUGUUGAGGAGGGUACAUUUGUACCAGGUCACCUGGACAACUUGCUGUCAUGGGCAGAGUUAAAGCAGGGAGCUGGACCAAGCCUGCCCUGUUUGCUCCUUUCCUUGCUGGGACUUUUAGGCAGAUAAGUGCUCUGUGGGAAUGCUGGUGAUUAUUACUGAUUACCCAAUAAAUUUGUGUGAGAACUCUGCUGUGGGUGCAUGGCUUGUGCUUCCCAGAAUCUUGCUUCUCAUCUCUGCAAUGCUCUUCUGGCUUUGCUCCCUUCUGGCUGCAGCAGCACGCCCAGGUCAGUCCGUAUAGCAUAAUGAAUGGGGACAGAGCUGAUGAUGCUUCCCACCUGGAGAGGUUCUUUUGAGGUGGAAAAGAGGUCCAUAGGACUUCCAGUUGUACCAAAGGCAGCUGGGAUGGGGAUCCCUUGGCAACUCUGUGCAUAGGAGGGUGGUUUUGAUCUGUGUGUUUGUUGGUAUUUCAGAGCUGACCCAGACAGGACUUUGCUGUAGCAGUGUGCUCAGAGCUGUGGCGGCAGAUGCCUCCGGCCACAGCAAGCCUGGACAGGUGGACAGACAGACAUGGCUGUGUGGGAGCAUUCAAUCUGAUGCUGGCCAUCGGUGUCCUCAUCUGCUGGAGCUUUUAAUUACUUUGCUGUUGUAAAAGGGCCCCCUUCGAGGGAGGGGGUUUGUGAUGGGGAGGAACAGAGGGAAUGGGAGAGCUCAGAACCCCACAGCCACGGGACAGACACGUCCUGCAGACACCCAUGUAGGGGAGAGCAUUGGAUGCUCUGCGUUGUGCAAUGGCAGUGAAUGGAGCAGCAUGGUGGAUGGAGGGAUGGGACUGGGAGGAGGGCAGAUGCCUUCAGGGCUCCUCCAGCCCAGGACACCACCACAGCAGCCCCUCCUGCCUGGUUCCUGGAGAGCUCACCGUUCCCCCGGCCCCUUCCGAUCAUUGCACGUCGCUGACAUCAUUGCCAGUUGCCAUGGAAAAGGCAGGUUGUCCAAAACACGACCCCUUGGCCUCAUCCCAUGCGUGUCAGGAAAUGAAGGUUUUACAGCACAACGCUGCAGCAGAGCAGGAAGAGCCGGAGAGGGACCGGCAGCUCGGAGACAGGCACAUGGCUCUGCCCCCUCUGUGAUGGGGAAAUGGAGACCAACUGGGGCUACCAGAUGGAUUUGUGUCUUCUGAGUUAUUUCUGGGCUGCUGGGGAGGCAAGGUGGAGCUUUAAAGUUGGUGCCCAGAGAGAAGGCAAGAAGUCUGCGUGAAGCUCUGAGCAACGCAACAGCAGAUGGUUUCCAUCGUUAAACCCAAGGAGAGAAUGUCUCCUAGGUGAGGUUGUGUUGCUGGAUGUGAGGCUCCUGGCUGGAUGAGGAGACCGGGGUGAUGCGAUGCCUCCCAGCUGAGCUGGGGAUGGGCAGAGAGCAGAGCAAAAGGAGCUGCUUGUUGUGGUGCCAGGAACCAGCCAGCAAUUCUAAAGCCAUCCUGGAGUCAGCGGUCACCAAAAGCCUUGCAGAGAGUGUGGGGGCUUUGGGAAGGGAGCACCAGGUGUUGUGCUGCGGUGGGGUUGGGACGCUGCUGUUCAAGGCAGCCUUUGUUCAGGCAGGAAUUACAACCAGACCUCUCUAUCCUGCAGUGGUCAGAGUGGAGGUGUUUCCCCAAGGGAAAGCUGGAAGCUUUGCUCUUGGAUCCUCCAGAACGGGAGGAAGCACACUGUGUCCUGCCCUGACCACAAAGCAUCCGCUCCCCCGUGCACAAGCAGCGUGCAAAAAGCUCCAUGAAGGCUCCGAGCAGUGGCAGCUCUGCCCGCCCUGCUGGAUUCAGGCAGCCUUCAUGCCACAUCCGUGCUGCAGGAUGAACCCAUCUCCUCCUUAGGUUCUUUUCCCCAUUCAUCCAUGGCCAUGCAUGCAGCCCAGCCCCCCCCAGCAGGCGGUGGACCACGAGCAGGCUGAGCAGCACACUCAUCUGGGGAUGUGCUGGAAAAUUAAAGCAUGGGAGCUUUCUGGUUUUGCAUACCCCAUCCGGGGGCACAGUGCAGGCGCCGAGCAUGGAAAGUGGUGGCAUGACACAUCAGCACUCUUGUUUUGGUCUCACUUUGCUCGAUACCUCACCAGUGCUGCAGUCACUUCACCCACCCGGUAAACAACGGCACGAGCGCGGGGAGCUGCCGGCUCCCUCCCGGCUGUGGGUGUCAGAGGGUUAAAAAUAGACUCCAGAUUUCGGUUGGUGAAUGUGGAGGCAGAGAGCAGAGCGCUGUUUAUCAAUGCCAGGGUUUCCCCUGAGAUGCUGAAAUGAGUCAGAUAAGGGAUGGGUACAACCGUGCUCCGCGCACGGCUCCUUUUGGGGAGCUCAGUGCUGAGGUCCGUGGGGAUGUUUGGUGUGGAUGGGUUCCUACAGGCUACGUUACAGCAUCCUACCCAUCCUUACCCUUCUGUAAGCACUGUCCUCUGCCCCUCCUCAGCCGUGAAAGCACCAUGGGCUGCUCAGCUGGCUCAGUUCCUCACUGGGUUUUGAGCCCAUGCAGAGGGCAGGGAUGGGCGGGGGGAUGGCUGAGGAGUGUGAUGUCCCAAAGGGACCCAAAAGGCUGCAAGGUGCGCCAGGUUUGUGGUGCUGGGGAGGCUGGAGGAGCAUCAGCCUCCUGUAACAGCGCUGCAGGUGUUGGCUCUGACCUUCCUACCCUGUGCAAAAUUGCUUCCAAUGCAGAGGUCACCAAGCUCCGUGAUGCUGCAAUUUCAGAGGAGCACAAGGGAGGAUUUUGCUGUCUCUGUUGUUGCACUGCUGACAUUUGGGACCUUCAGAGCAGUGGAGCUGUGAGGAUUGCUGCUGGGUCCCUGGGAGCAGCGUGGUGCCAUCGCUGCUGCUUGCAGGAAUCUGAGGGCUCAGAUGGUGGGGUGCAAAGGGCUGCUGGUGCUGCUGCAGCUCUUUGUGGCCCCAGUGAAAUUAGGGCACACAUUUUAGUGCCUUCCUAUCCUGCAUGCUGCAAUAGUUGUGGUCACUGUGGCAGGUCCUCUCCUGUAAGGGCAUCCUAUGCCCUUACACCCCAUCCCUUUGCACAGUGCUUGGGCCCUGGGGUGAUGCAGACCUGGAUGCCCAUCUCCUAAGGCCCAGGGAACAUGUGUUUGGGUCACCCCAGGCUGGGUUAAUGCACAGGGGCAGCAGCAGGCUGCUGUUAGCAGAGGACCAAACUGCUCCCUGUCAGUGUUUCUGAGCCAAGUUGGCAGCUGCUUCAGCUCAGCCCCACGGGGUGGGAGAUGGGGCUAAAACUGCUCCCUAUUUCCAUCCUGUCCCCUCUUGUGCCUCUGCACCUCCUACAUUGGCAUCACCAUCCCAUCCCAUCCUCAUCAGCAUCCCCAUCCCAUUCCUUCAGCAUCCUCAUCCCCUUCCCAUCCCGUCCCAAUCUCACCCAUCCCCUCUCCCUUUGCACCACUGCAACGACAUCCACGCGCGAGGCCCUCGGGAGCCCUUUUUCUCCCAGGGACAGCAUUUUGGAGGAGGGACGGAGCCGGUCCCACUUCCAGAGGCACCCCACGCUGUGGGAUCUGGGCUGGGCUGUGGGGCUGUGUGAAUGGAGCACUUUUUCACACCCGACGCUUUGCUUGUGGAAGCGGCAGCAGCUUCCUGUUUGACUCACACCUGACAGCCCCGCUGUAUGAGUCGGGGCCUCUCGGUGCUUGCAGCAACUGAGUGGGGCUGUUUACAAUUAGAGAACAUGGGAUUCCCAGAAAGAGGCUCAGACCGGACAUCCUGAAGCGAAAUACCCCGGGCGUCACCAGCUAAAAAUAGACACAGCAGAACAGUCACCAAACAAACAGCACGGCUGCGUUGGGUGCAGGGCUGUGUCCCAUGGCGUGGGGGGGGGGGGAGGGGAGGGGGACACACGGUGGCCUUUCCUUCCCCCGUUGUGUUUUUGGGGCAUAACGACGUGAUGCUCCGAAGCGGCAG